This 83-nucleotide transfer RNA is filed under the name bacterium. Its description in RNAcentral is "tRNA-Glu". It matches the Rfam family "tRNA". Rfam says of the family: Transfer RNA (tRNA) molecules are approximately 80 nucleotides in length. Their secondary structure includes four short double-helical elements and three loops (D, anti-codon, and T loops). Further hydrogen bonds mediate the characteristic L-shaped molecular structure. tRNAs have two regions of fundamental functional importance: the anti-codon, which is responsible for specific mRNA codon recognition, and the 3' end, to which the tRNAs corresponding amino acid is attached (by aminoacyl-tRNA synthetases). tRNAs cope with the degeneracy of the genetic code in two manners: having more than one tRNA (with a specific anti-codon) for a particular amino acid; and 'wobble' base-pairing, i.e. permitting non-standard base-pairing at the 3rd anti-codon position. The record is from RNAcentral.
UCCGAUAUGGUCUAAUGGUUUAGGAUACGGGGCUUUCAAUAGGAAGCAAUCCCAUGGUCCGGGUUCAAUUCCCGGUAUCGGAA